UACGCCCCGCCAUCCCAGGACCCCUAUGCCGCCCCCCGCGGUCUGACCCCCUUCCCCCCCGCAGGGUGUGGUCACGGCCGCCGUCAGCCUCAUCACCUGCCUCUGCAAGAAGAACCCUGAUGACUUCAAGACGUGUGUCUCCCUGGCCGUGUCCAGGCUGAGCCGGGUGAGCGGGGCCGGACGCCUGGGUUCCACCCUGGCUCGGGGUGCAGGGGAGGGGCCAGACGCCUGAGUUCCCUUCCCGUCUCGGGGUGCGGGGGAGGGGCCGGACUCCUGGGUUCCCUCCCCAGUGUGGGCAGGGCAGCAUUCAGGGCGGGGAGGGCCCAUGGCUGGGGACUGACCCCUCGCUGUGGCCCCUGCCCAGAUCGUGUCGUCAGCCUCCACGGACCUGCAGGAUUACACCUACUACUUUGUGCCGGCCCCAUGGCUCUCUGUGAAACUCCUGCGCCUGCUGCAGUGCUACCCCCCGCCAGAGGACGCAGCGGUGAAGGGGCGGCUGGUCGAGUGCCUGGAAACCAUCCUCAACAAGGCCCAGGAGCCCCCCAAGUCCAAGAAGGUUCAACAUUCCAACGCGAAGAACGCCAUCCUCUUCGAGGCCAUCAGCCUCAUCAUCCACUACGACAGCGAACCCAACCUGUUGGUGCGGGCCUGUAACCAGCUGGGCCAGUUCCUGCAGCACCGGGAGACCAACCUGCGGUACCUGGCGCUGGAGAGCAUGUGCACCCUGGCCAGCUCCGAGUUCUCCCACGAGGCUGUCAAGACCCACAUCGAGACGGUCAUCAAUGCCCUCAAGGUCGGUGGAGAGGUGGGGCGGGGCCCUGGCGGUGGAGCGGGGGGAGAAGGUGGGCCCGGGUAGGGGCAG
This 862-nucleotide long non-coding RNA is filed under the name Chelonoidis abingdonii (Abingdon island giant tortoise). RNAcentral describes it as "lncRNA (ENSCABG00000014821.1)". Lineage: Eukaryota; Metazoa; Chordata; Testudines; Testudinidae. The record is from RNAcentral.